GAGUUACGGGCUGCGUUGUAACCGUGCAGCAACUUCAGCCCUUGCCUCCUCAGAAGAAAGAAUUAGACUGAGGCACAUAAAGCAGAAAAAGAGAUCAAGUUUUGGAACUUGGACUGGCUCUCCUUGCUCCUUAGCCUGCCGACGGCCUAUUGUGGGACCUUGUGAUCAUGACUCCAAUUAUACAUAUAUCAGGAAGCUUAAUACAAUCCCAGAGGUUUUACUUGAAAAAUAGAAUUUUAUUGAUAAAAAAUAGAAAACUUCAAAUCUAUCACAACUCAUCAACAGUCUACUCCUUUUAUGUAUUGGAAGCUUGUCAACUUCUUUUUGAAAAGUUAAAGUCAAGUUAGAGCUAAGACCAUAAACAUAUGAAGACUGUCUGAGAAGACAUGACUGGAAACUGAAUAGGGCUGGGCGUGGUGGCUCGCACCUGUAAUCCCAACAAUUUGGGAGGCCGAGGUGGGUGGAUCACCUGAAGUCAAGAGUUCGAGACCAGCCUGGUCAACAUGGAGAAAUCCUGUUUCCACUAAGAAUACAAGAAUUAGCCAGGUGUGGUGGCAGGUGCCUGUAAUCCCAGCUACUCAGGUGGCUGAGGCAGGAGAAUUGCUUCAACCCGGGAGGCAGAGGUUGCAGUGAUCCAAGAUCAUGCCACUGCACUCCAGCCUGGGAGACAGAGAAAGACUCCAUCUCAGGGGAAAAAAAAGAAAAGAAAAGAAAAAGAAAAGAAAACUGAAUAAUACUCUAUUUUUCUACAAUGAAUCUAGAAAAAAAAAAAAAAGACCAAAUAUAGGAUUACUUGAAUGAGACGAAAAAGAUGGAAUUUGGAGGACAAGACAAGAGAUACUAAGAAGAGUAAACCCAAUAAACAGACUGCAGCACAGAAAGGGUCCAGGACCAGGGAGGUUGCUUGUUCAGGAAAGAGUUAACUCAACAGGUCUGGGAUAUUCAAAUCCCACACAUUUCGAAAAAAAGUUCUCUCCUCAUUGGCUCCUGGGAGAAAAUCUCUACGUCUUUGGACUAUUCUUCCAGAUUGGAGACUGAAAAGAAGAGAAGUUAAGGAACUUGUCUAAGAUUAUCAAGCAAAAAUUUAAAGCUGAAGUUUCAAUAUUUUCUUAGAAAACAAGAAAAGUUAGUGAUCUCAUUAUAGAACGACUGUUACAGUGGCUUCAGCAGAAUCAGUGGUGGUGUCAACAGCAUCUGGAGCAGAGAGGGCAAGCUUAGUUCAUAUGAAGCAGCAAUAGCAACAGAAGAAAAGGCAGUGACAUCACCCUCAGCUUGUUGGAG
Molecule: long non-coding RNA, 1281 nt
Organism: Pan troglodytes (chimpanzee)
Lineage: Eukaryota; Metazoa; Chordata; Mammalia; Primates; Hominidae
Exons: 9
Source: RefSeq, a predicted model, not a curated record